AGCCUGAUGCAGCCAUGCCGCGUGUGUGAAGAAGGCCUUCGGGUUGUAAAGCACUUUCAGUCGUGAGGAAGGUGGUGUAGUUAAUAGCUGUAUCAUUUGACGUUAGCGACAGAAGAAGCACCGGCUAACUCCGUGCCAGCAGCCGCGGUAAUACGGAGGGUGCGAGCGUUAAUCGGAAUUACUGGGCGUAAAGCGCAUGCAGGUGGUUUGUUAAGUCAGAUGUGAAAGCCCGGGGCUCAACCUCGGAAUAGCAUUUGAAACUGGCAGACUAGAGUACUGUAGAGGGGGGUAGAAUUUCAGGUGUAGCGGUGAAAUGCGUAGAGAUCUGAAGGAAUACCGGUGGCGAAGGCGGCCCCCUGGACAGAUACUGACACUCAGAUGCGAAAGCGUGGGGAGCAAACAGGAUUAGAUACCCUGGUAGUCCACGCCGUAAACGAUGUCUACUUGUUAGGUUGUGGCCUUGAGCCGUGGCUUUCGGAGCUAACGCGUUAAGUAGACCGCCUGGG
This 506-nucleotide ribosomal RNA is filed under the name Vibrio sp. 6Bf3S85. Its description in RNAcentral is "bacterial SSU rRNA". It matches the Rfam family "Bacterial small subunit ribosomal RNA", at positions 380 to 877 of the family's 1533-position model. The record is from RNAcentral. Lineage: Bacteria; Pseudomonadati; Pseudomonadota; Gammaproteobacteria; Vibrionales; Vibrionaceae.